UGCAAGGCAGGCAUCAGCUGCUGUGGCCCUUGCUGUCUUGCUCUGGUCUCCCUCUCGCGCCCUCUGCAGCAGCAGGUGGCAUCUGUCAGGCAGAACCCAGAAGGCACAGCUGGCCAGGCUCUCUCAGCUGGGAUCUCAGAUUCUGCAAAUGCGUCAAGAACAAACAAACACACGAAAAUCAAUGCAAACUAGACAAAGACAUUUCUGGGCUGAAAAGUAAAGAUGGCAGGAGGCUUUCUUGCAUUUUGGGAUCUGUGAAGAUAGUAUGUCCGAUGUGAUUGCAGGAUUGAAGCCAGCAUCUUCACUGGAAGAGCAAAUGAGAUGCUCUUGAGCCCAUGGAACAGCUAGUUGAGAAGUGCAACAUGGCAGAUGCAUGACCCUGGGCAAAUUACUUUAUCACUCUGAACCUAAGUGACUUCAUCAGUAAAAUAGGAACAUUCUUAUAAUCCACACAUCCAGGACUCAUCAAGCAAUGGUGAAGAGAUCUUGACAGCUGCAAGACUUCACUGACAAGGCAUUAGGGCCUCAGCCCCAACAGAAUCUUCCCCAACUUGGAGGAAUCCUCAGAUUGGGAGUGUCCUCUAUAGCCUCAUAAAUAAGCAUAGAUGUG
This 610-nucleotide long non-coding RNA is filed under the name Macaca mulatta (Rhesus monkey). RNAcentral's name for it is "lncRNA (ENSMMUG00000057446.1)". The record is from RNAcentral. Lineage: Eukaryota; Metazoa; Chordata; Mammalia; Primates; Cercopithecidae.